AUUGUCCUGACUCUGGAUGUGGUUGUUUUAUUUACACACAGGUUUCCUUAUUAAAGGCUUAAUUCGUUUCUUUUCCUGUGGGGAAACACUGUGAUUAUUCAGGACUAGAAACGCGCACAGUUCGGAUCAUUAUGUUUAAAAUGAUUCCGGAGCUGAACAAUGCGUCGGUGCAUAUGAGAGACUGAGGACGAGUGGAAACCAUCAUCAGCAACAUGCAGAGAGCAGGAGCUUCUACACUGCAGAUAUUCUUCACAACACCACUCUGAUUAGUGAGGAGUGUAAAGUAAAGGUAAAAACCCACCAGUGUUCAUGACGUGUAUGACGUUUCACACAAAACAUUGACAGAGAAAAGCAGACAGAAGAGGAAUCAGAUAUUUUUUCGUUGCUCACGUGAUUCUGUUUGAGACCUGAUUUCCUUCACUAAAAAUUCAUUUAAUUUUUCACUCCGCAGAUGUCAGAUUUGGUGGCUUACUAUUAUCCCAUUGAGAUCGACAGCUCGAAAUGUAGCAGACUGAAUCUGAGUGUUAAUGAUCAUUAACACUCAGAUUCAGUCUGCUACAUUUUAUUUCUUACUCAUUCAACAGAAUUGUGACAAACCAGCCUUUGAAAAACUGUGUGUGUGUGUGUCAGGUGGAUGUAAGCUCACACUUUGUUUAUCAAGCAGCGAAAUAGGAAAGACCAGCUGGCUCAGGCUGUUAGAGAUUCGGGUACCAUUUUGAGAGAAGGCUAAAGGUCUUUCUUUGACAUGCUGAAGGAGAACUCUGUCCCUCUGUGAUGUGGCACACACAGUUCAGGUUAAAUAAAGACACAUUACAGUUUGGAAAGGCCUAAAAGGGAGUGUCCCAUCAACAGGAAGCCAGUUUUAUAGCAUCCUGAAGGGGCGGAGUCGUCUGAUCAAGCAUGCAAGUAUUACAAAUCUUUUGUAUGUAGAUAUUUCGGUGAUUUGUAAAGGAUAAUGCCUUUGAUUACAGAUUUUAUUGUGGUGUGACUUGUAAAGUGAUAAGAUCUGUGAAGUGUAAAAUAUAGUGUUGCUAACAAAUGGAGUGUUCUGAUUGGUCCGUUUGAUCUGGGGACCAGGAUGAUAAAGAACAAAGGAAAUGUUGCAGAGGGACAGAGGGGUGUUUGUUGGAACAGUAGCCAACAAUUUAGUUAUUCCCUUUUGUGUUUUGUUGUGUUGAGUUGUACUUUGAAUAG
Molecule: long non-coding RNA, 1194 nt
Organism: Tachysurus fulvidraco (yellow catfish)
Lineage: Eukaryota; Metazoa; Chordata; Actinopteri; Siluriformes; Bagridae
Exons: 5
Source: RefSeq, a predicted model, not a curated record